GACGAACGCUGGCGGCGUGCUUAACACAUGCAAGUCGAACGGAAAGGCCCUGCUUUUGUGGGGUGCUCGAGUGGCGAACGGGUGAGUAACACGUGAGUAACCUGCCCUUGACUUUGGGAUAACUUCAGGAAACUGGGGCUAAUACCGGAUAGGAGCUCCUGCUGCAUGGUGGGGGUUGGAAAGUUUCGGCGGUUGGGGAUGGACUCGCGGCUUAUCAGCUUGUUGGUGGGGUAGUGGCUUACCAAGGCUUUGACGGGUAGCCGGCCUGAGAGGGUGACCGGCAACAUUGGGACUGAGAUACGGCCCAGACUCCUACGGGAGGCAGCAGUGGGGAAUAUUGCACAAUGGGCGGAAGCCUGAUGCAGCAACGCCGCGUGCGGGAUGACGGCCUUCGGGUUGUAAACCGCUUUCGCCUGUGACGAAGCGUGAGUGACGGUAAUGGGUAAAGAAGCACCGGCUAACUACGG
Molecule: ribosomal RNA, 467 nt
Filed under: uncultured bacterium
Lineage: Bacteria
Description: partial 16S ribosomal RNA
Rfam family: Bacterial small subunit ribosomal RNA
Source: RNAcentral